GACGAACGCUGGCGGCGUGCUUAACACAUGCAAGUCGAACGGAAAGGCCCUGCUUUUGUGGGGUGCUCGAGUGGCGAACGGGUGAGUAACACGUGAGUAACCUGCCCUUGACUUUGGGAUAACUUCAGGAAACUGGGGCUAAUACCGGAUAGGAGCUCCUGCUGCAUGGUGGGGGUUGGAAAGUUUCGGCGGUUGGGGAUGGACUCGCGGCUUAUCAGCUUGUUGGUGGGGUAGUGGCUUACCAAGGCUUUGACGGGUAGCCGGCCUGGGAGGGUGACCGGCCACAUUGGGACUGAGAUACGGCCCAGGCUCCUACGGGAGGCAGGAGUGGGGAAUAUUGCACAAUGGGCGGAGGCCUGAUGCAGCAACGCCGCGUGCGGGAUGACGGCUUUCGGGUUGGAAACCGCUUUCGCCUGUGACGAAGCGUGAGUGACGGUAAUGGGUAAAGAAGCACCGGCUAACUACGU
RNAcentral lists this ribosomal RNA (467 nucleotides) under uncultured bacterium. RNAcentral describes it as "partial 16S ribosomal RNA". It matches the Rfam family "Bacterial small subunit ribosomal RNA", at positions 28 to 506 of the family's 1533-position model. The record is from RNAcentral.